GACGAACGCUGGCGGCGUGCUUAACACAUGCAAGUCGAACGGAAAGGCCCUGCUUUUGUGGGGUGCUCGAGUGGCGAACGGGUGAGUAACACGUGAGUAACCUGCCCUUGACUUUGGGAUAACUUCAGGAAACUGGGGCUCAUACCGGAUAGGAGCUCCUGCUGCGUGGUGGGGGUUGGAAAGUUUCGGCGGUUGGGGAUGGACUCGCGGCUUAUCAGCUUGUUGGUGGGGUAGUGGCUUACCAAGGCUUUGACGGGUAGCCGGCCUGAGAGGGUGACCGGCCACAUUGGGACUGAGAUACGGCCCAGACGCCUACGGGAGGCAGCAGUGGGGAAUAUGGCACAAUGGGCGGAAGCCUGAUGCAGCAACGCCGCGUGCGGGAUGACGGCCUUCGGGUUGUAAACCGCUUUCGCCUGUGACGAAGCGUGAGUGACGGUAAUGGGUAAAGAAGCACCGGCUAACUACGUG
RNAcentral lists this ribosomal RNA (468 nucleotides) under uncultured bacterium. RNAcentral's name for it is "partial 16S ribosomal RNA". It matches the Rfam family "Bacterial small subunit ribosomal RNA", at positions 28 to 507 of the family's 1533-position model. The record is from RNAcentral.